RNAcentral lists this ribosomal RNA (447 nucleotides) under uncultured bacterium. Its description in RNAcentral is "bacterial SSU rRNA". It matches the Rfam family "Bacterial small subunit ribosomal RNA", at positions 355 to 825 of the family's 1533-position model. The record is from RNAcentral.
UCGGGAAUUUUGGGCAAUGGGCGAAAGCCUGACCCAGCAACGCCGCGUGAAGGAUGAAGUAUUUCGGUAUGUAAACUUCGAAAGAAUAGGAAGAAUAAAUGACGGUACUAUUUAUAAGGUCCGGCUAACUACGUGCCAGCAGCCGCGGUAAUACGUAGGGACCAAGCGUUGUUCGGAUUUACUGGGCGUAAAGGGCGCGUAGGCGGCAAUUCAAGUCAUCUGUGAAAUCUCCGGGCUUAACUCGGAACGGUCAGAUGAUACUGCUUUGCUAGAGUGCAGAAGGGGCAAUCGGAAUUCUUGGUGUAGCGGUGAAAUGCGUAGAUAUCAAGAGGAACACCUGAGGUGAAGACGGGUUGCUGGGCUGACACUGACGCUGAGGCGCGAAAGCCAGGGGGGCAAACGGGAUUAGAUACCCUUGUAGUCCCUGAGCGGGCUGGCAAGGCGCAU